This 465-nucleotide ribosomal RNA is filed under the name uncultured bacterium. Its description in RNAcentral is "SSU rRNA". It matches the Rfam family "Bacterial small subunit ribosomal RNA", at positions 26 to 518 of the family's 1533-position model. The record is from RNAcentral.
AGGACGAACGCUGGCGGCGUGCUUCACACAUGCAAGUCGAACGGGGUAGCAAUACCUAGUGGCGGACGGGUGAGUAACGCGUGGGAAUCUGCCUUGAAGUGGGGGAUAGCAAGCCGAAAGGCUUAUUAAUACCGCAUAUGAUUACAUCAAGACAUUUUUGUAAUUGAAAGGAGUAAUCCGUUUCAAGAUGAGCCCGCGUCCGAUUAGCUAGUUGGUAAGGUAACGGCUUACCAAGGCGACGAUCGGUAGGUGGUCUGAGAGGAUGAUCACCCACAAUGGGACUGAGACACGGCCCAUACUCCUACGGGAGGCAGCAGUGGGGAAUUUUGUGCAAUGGGCGAAAGCCUGACACAGCGACACCGCGUGAACGAAGAAGCUCUUUGGAGUGUAAAGUUCUGUCGGCUGGAACGAAACAAUGACGGUACCAGCAAAGGAAGCAUCGGCUAACUACGUGCCAGCAGCCGC